RNAcentral lists this ribosomal RNA (2186 nucleotides) under Triticum aestivum (bread wheat). RNAcentral's name for it is "partial small subunit ribosomal RNA". Lineage: Eukaryota; Viridiplantae; Streptophyta; Magnoliopsida; Poales; Poaceae. The record is from RNAcentral.
UACGCGAUGUACGUAGGGCAUUUACUGUGAGGUAAAGAGCGGAGGCGAUCAUCUUCUCAUCAUGGUGGUAAAGUUUUCGAGCCUCGAAAGUCGCAUGCUCUCCGCUUAAACUUUGAGCAAGCCGAGACCGAUCGUACGACGUCCCGUCGCAGUCGAACCCCAUCCUCCCAUCCCCUCCUGCGCUACCUCCGGCUGAGGCCCUUCGAGAAGCAGCCGCCGUAGAGGACCCUCUGCCUGCUCCUGGCGGAGGCGCUGAUGAAACCGGCGAAGCCGCUCCAGUGGCUCCGACAGUAGUACGCGCUGGCGUUGUGGCCGGCGCGAGCGCCGAAGCCGAAGUAUCAGAAACGGCUCCGGCCGCAACGACUCGCUCAGUGGUACCUGUUCGUGUACUAGCUACCGGCGUACCAGCUUCGGUUCUUUCGACAAGGGUCCCUGCUGGUCUCGUAACGUUCGUUCUUGUUACCGUCGUCGUAUCCGAGCGGACCCGGUCAGGCAUGGUCUUUCUAGAAACAACCCCCCGACCGGAGGUUACAAUGACUCCAACUUAAGUCUUCCAUAAAACUCGUUAAGCCGUACUAUUGUCUACACCAACAGUACAUGCUGGUGUUGUGUGUCUCCGGGUCCCCGAAACCGAAGUAGUGGAUACUAAGUCUUCUACGUCACCUAUUCCGCGACGUGUUCUUGAAGGUACUCGAAUUACCGUUCUACCAACUUCAGUUCUCUCGACAGGGUUUCCUCGUCAGCGGACCUGGACAGCGUGCGAGUGGACGACCUCCCGUCUUGGAACGAUAGUCGUCCCAAGUGUUGAAGAACUUACCGAAGUUGGUCCCUAUAUCGGGUUUGGGCUAUCCUCCAAUGCCGUACUCCCACCUACCUUCCAAACCGGACGAAAGUCCACGUGCUUUACCCAAAAGAAGUAAACCGGGGUCAAUACCUUACCCGUACUUACAACUUUGACCCUACUUACGUUUAAAACCACGUUUGAGAUCAAAGGAGUUAUUGAGUUUACCCGCCGUUUACCCAAGUAUGAUGUUACCACCAAAUUUGUCUGAUCCGUCGGGAUAACCCAUGCAACCAGACUUACUACUAAGUCCUAGCUAUAACUCAAGUUACCCUUCCUUACAAACCCCAUUACCUUUACAGUUGAUGGUCUUGUCGGGAUGUUUGUACUCAAGAAAACAUGGUAGACCUUCACCCUCAGUUCAACCAUAAUGACCGCUACCAUAUUUAACCCCUCCAGGAUGAAGACGGGUACCCUACCCUUCGUAAAGUUCGGAACCCAGAUUGUAACCGGCACCCCGACCUCUAUUGAAACCAAACGGCAGACCGCCGAUACCUUCCUCGUUGGGUUGACCGUGGUAACCACUUGGAAAAAGACGCAGUCGGUUACGUAUACUUUACUUGUUGUAUCUAUGUAUACCGUUGUUGAGAUAAAUACCACUGAGUUGGACCUCCAAGUGCAGUAGACUCUAGCUAUAAGGAGGAAAACUAUUACUAGAACCUUUAUAGCUAGGUCUAUAGUUUAGCUUGUACGGUCGUUCAAUGUACCCGUUGAUAUGACAAUUAUUAUUAGUCUGUUCGUCUCACGGUAGGACUUCAACUCCCAUUUACUAUCGUAACCUCUACACAUUACGUACACGGACUUGUUGUAUUUCCCAUAGUGAAGGAUCCGCUCUUAUAAUAAUAUCAGUAUAUAUACUGAACCCUAUCCGUUCUGUGGGUAAUAUAGUCCAUAAGUGCACGUCAUGACACUUAACCACUAUAGUCUAAUUAUAUGUCCAAUCAAUUAACAAAGAUCGAUUGGUCUCCACACCAAAUGCCUGUGGUUGGUUGUACGAUCUCCUCGCCCUAUGUUUGUAAAACACUUCCAAAGUCUAAAAUCAAAUUAAAAGAUGCACAUAAUCCAGAAAACCAAAAGGUUACUCUACACGUCACCACUAACGCCGUGUGUGAAUCUUCCACAAGGUUGUAUUCGACCUUAAGACAGUAUGCCUGCUGUUUGAACAUAUGGUCCCUACGACAUAAUAGAACGGGUAAAUACCGUUGUAAUCGAACGCACAAAAAGGAGAAGAGGAAAAAAUUGGUAAAGUAAACAAUGAUCUCCUAAACCAGCCGAAAUGAUCAUUUUUGAUAAACCCCCACGGUUACGGUAUGACCAGGGGUAAUUAUUUCAGUGGGUUUCAUGU